GUCCGCACCGUAAACGAUGGACACUUGGUGUUGGAGGUAUUGACCCCUUCAGUGCCGAAGCUAACGCGUUAAGUGUCCCGCCUGGGAAGUACGGUCGCAAGAUUAAAACUCAAAGAAAUUGACGGGGCCCGCACAAGCGGUGGAGCAUGUGGUUUAAUUCGAUGCAACGCGAAAACCUUACCUGGGCUCGAAAUGUUAUGGAAUAAGGUAGAGAUAUCUUAGUUCUUCGGAACUGUAAUAUAGGUGCUGCAUGGCUGUCGU
RNAcentral lists this ribosomal RNA (261 nucleotides) under uncultured bacterium. RNAcentral's name for it is "partial 16S ribosomal RNA". It matches the Rfam family "Bacterial small subunit ribosomal RNA", at positions 793 to 1055 of the family's 1533-position model. The record is from RNAcentral.